GGCUGGAUCUCUCGGGGUUACAGCCUUGCUGAAUUAUUCACCCUUGUCUUUUGCGUACUUCUUGUUUCCUUGGUGGGUUCGCCCACCACUAGGACAAACAUAAACCUUUUGUAAUUGCAAUCAGCGUCAGUAACAAAUUAAUAAUUACAACUUUCAACAACGGAUCUCUUGGUUCUGGCAUCGAUGAAGAACGCAGCGAAAUGCGAUAAGUAGUGUGAAUUGCAGAAUUCAGUGAAUCAUCGAAUCUUUGAACGCACAUUGCGCCCUUUGGUAUUCCAAAGGGCAUGCCUGUUCGAGCGUCAUUUGUACCCUCAAGCUUUGCUUGGUGUUGGGCGUCUUGUCUCUAGCUUUGCUGGAGACUCGCCUUAAAGUAAUUGGCAGCCGGCCUACUGGUUUCGGAGCGCAGCACAAGUCGCACUCUCUAUCAGCAAAGGUCUAGCAUCCAUUAAGCCUUUUUUCAACUUUUGACCUCGGAUCAGGUAGGGAUACCCGCUGAACUUAAGCAUUAAAAAGGGGAGAAAGAGAAUGGAACCAAUUGGGAAAUGGCGCGCUGGAAUACUUAAAGGGCUACCGCCCUGCUAAAAUAUUCAGGCUUGUCUGUGCGUACGUCUAGUUUCCGUGGUAGGUUCGCCCACCACUAAACGAACAUAAACGUCUGUAAUUGCAAUCAGCGUCGUACA
This 680-nucleotide ribosomal RNA is filed under the name Alternaria sp. A GRMP-54. RNAcentral describes it as "eukaryotic LSU rRNA". The stretch from base 149 to 302 matches the Rfam family "5.8S ribosomal RNA". Lineage: Eukaryota; Fungi; Ascomycota; Dothideomycetes; Pleosporales; Pleosporaceae. The record is from RNAcentral.